AUGAACGCUGGCGGCGUGCCUAAUACAUGCAAGUCGAGCGAACAGACGAGGAGCUUGCUCCUCUGACGUUAGCGGCGGACGGGUGAGUAACACGUGGAUAACCUACCUAUAAGACUGGGAUAACUUCGGGAAACCGGAGCUAAUAUCGGAUAAUAUAUUGAACCGCAUGGUUCAAUAGUGAAAGACGGUUUUGCUGUCACUUAUAGAUGGAUCCGCGCCGCAUUAGCUAGUUGGUAAGGUAACGGCUUACCAAGGCGACGAUGCGUAGCCGACCUGAGAGGGUGAUCGGCCACACUGGAACUGAGACACGGUCCAGACUCCUACGGGAGGCAGCAGUAGGGAAUCUUCCGCAAUGGGCGAAAGCCUGACGGAGCAACGCCGCGUGAGUGAUGAAGGUCUUCGGAUCGUAAAACUCUGUUAUUAGGGAAGAACAAAUGUGUAAGUAACUAUGCACGUCUUGACGGUACCUAAUCAGAAAGCCACGGCUAACUACGUG
This 496-nucleotide ribosomal RNA is filed under the name uncultured bacterium. RNAcentral's name for it is "partial 16S ribosomal RNA". It matches the Rfam family "Bacterial small subunit ribosomal RNA", at positions 29 to 507 of the family's 1533-position model. The record is from RNAcentral.